GACGGAAGGUGCAAGCGUUGCUCGGAAUCACUGGGCGUAAAGGGUGCGUAGGCGGCUUGGUAAGUUGGGUGUGAAAGCCCCGGGCUCAGCCCGGGAAGGGCACUCGAAACUGCCGAGCUGGAGUGCCGGAGGGGAGAGUGGAAUUCCUGGUGUAGCGGUGAAAUGCGUAGAUAUCAGGAGGAAUACCGGUGGCGAAAGCGACUCUCUGGACGGCAACUGACGCUGAGGCACGAAAGCGUGGGGAGCGAACAGG
RNAcentral lists this ribosomal RNA (253 nucleotides) under uncultured bacterium. Its description in RNAcentral is "partial 16S ribosomal RNA". It matches the Rfam family "Bacterial small subunit ribosomal RNA", at positions 524 to 776 of the family's 1533-position model. The record is from RNAcentral.